This 238-nucleotide non-coding RNA is filed under the name Vigna radiata var. radiata (mung bean). The record is from RNAcentral. Lineage: Eukaryota; Viridiplantae; Streptophyta; Magnoliopsida; Fabales; Fabaceae.
GCCGAGUUGCGUAACGUCAACUUGUGACUCAAAUGAGGGCAUCAUGGUGGUAGGAUAAAACUGUCGUUUCCUUGGGUUGGCCUUUGAUAGCAAGAUGCUGGCCUGCCCGCUCCAAGUUGAGAGCUGGCCCAUGGGACCUAAGCGAAGGCAUAGGUCUUUCGGAUCCUAGAGUGGAGGGAUAACAGGCUGCUACAGUCACUGUCCUGUUUGCCCAAUGAGCCUAGUUUCUUAGAUUGUG